RNAcentral lists this long non-coding RNA (6228 nucleotides) under Daucus carota (carrot). RNAcentral describes it as "long non-coding RNA (DCAR_LNC000223)". Lineage: Eukaryota; Viridiplantae; Streptophyta; Magnoliopsida; Apiales; Apiaceae. The record is from RNAcentral.
GUCUUCAUCUGAUGGAGAUGGAAUUGCAGUGAAAUGUGGCCAAUUAUAGGCAUGGUCAUUGAUUGACUUGGCAUAUGGACCAUUAAGAACCGCUUUCCUCAAUUUUCCAUCAGGAUUGUUAGGUGAAGUUACAAACUCAAUCACAUUCAGAGAGUCUUCAGAACUGUUUUUGCACAACGAUGUAUCGCCAUAGAAUUCAUAGUCCUCAGUUGCAAAAAAUUCAGUCUGCAAUUCAUAAGCCUGAAAAAAAAUGUAUAUAAAGAACACCACUUAUAACAUUACUAAUCAAAUUAGUAUAUGAAAUUUCAUCUAUAAAUCAGAUUAGUACCGGGUAGAAUGGGAUGGAAACUACAACUUUUGAAGGUGUAGAUGAGUUAUCCAAGGAGAGGGCAUGGACUGCUGCAUUGAGUAAUUGGGUAGAGCCUGUUCCAAAAACAAUAUAUUUUCCUUCUGCAACUGCAUUUCCAGCUAUAGAAUGUAAUUUACGGAUGCUUUUCUCCAGUUCUUGCGAGGUAAAUGUAUGGUCACCGAAUGAAUAGCUCAUUCGAUGCCACCCUGCCACUACUAGUGCACUACUAGCUGCAUUUUGCAUCCAAAAUGGCUCCAAAAACAAGGGAUCCCCACUGCGAAGGAAAUAAAUUGAUACUCAGAUCUGUAGUAAACAUGAUGUAUAUGACAUAUUUGUUAGAUCACAAAGGCAAGUAGACCACACUUCUCAAUCACAGGAUUUAUUUUUAUUAUGUGGAAUAAUCUCUUUAUAUUGGGUGCAUCAACCAAUUUUAGAUCCCAUUAUCAUUGUAGAAUUUAAAUAUCUGGGAGUCUUGAACGACUCAUGGGAUGGUAAUUUUUGGAUAAAAUGGAAAUAUCUUGCAAUUUCACUAGUUUCUUUUAGAAAGAAACUAGUUAUAGAGUUUCUUUUACAGAGGACAGUUUCUCAAAUUCAAAGUAAGUAUUUAACCAGCAUAAAUUAUCCAAGUUAAACACUUGCUCUUUAAAACCUUUCCGGGGUCAAACUCCAAUACUAAUGUGCCUUUGAAUCUAGAAUCUACAUAUUUCACUAUACCAAUCCAAUGAUACACUCCAACUCUUGCUACAAGAGCAGAAGAAGAGAACAAAACCAGUAUAUCUCACUCGGAAAUAUGGUCUAAGUAAAACAACUCCUGAAGUAAGGGCAAAAGCGGAUCGUUUCUUAUUUAUAGCAGAACCAGGCCAGGGCUGACGUGCAGCCCCAGAAAAAUAGUAAAGAUUAACAUUUUAAUCUUUUGAAAUUUCAGAACUGCUUAUUAUUUUGAACCUGGAUUUAAAAUUAGUUCAGUCCCGUGUUAUUUUAAAUCCCCGAUCAAUCCCUGCUACCUGUCUACAUGUAUAAGGAGAUGCCAAAACAAGAAAUUUUGUUUUCUUCUGGACAAUACAAUGAAAUUAGCUCCAAAAACAUUGUUUACAGUCUCAUUUCCUCUGUUCCCCAAAACUUUGGAGAUUCAGAAUAUUAGCAUAUAAUAUUACAACAACAAAAACAAACUUUUCUCAAGAAGCAAUAGAAAAGAAUUACCUGUUUACAUCAGCAGGACAAUCAGGGAUAUAAUUUGAGCAGUCAGGGCCAUCAUAACAAGUAUUACACUCACAAAUUGGCCUACCAUCAACCACUAAACCAUCCAAGUAAGCUCUCCCGUGGCCCGAACACGAAAUCGAUGCCACAGCUUCUGCUUCUGCUGCUGCACUUGUGCUCCAACUCAAACUCCACUUGUUACUCACCAAGUGAUCAUAAGAAAAGAAUAUGUUCACCAGGAUAGAACACAAGAGACAAGCAUAUGCAUAUUUGUUGUAUCUUGAACUUUGAUCAGUCUUUGCACCCAUGUCUAAACUUGUAACCUUGUCUGAAGACUUGAUCUUUAUUUAAAUAUGUAAAACACAAUGCACCACGCAUCUGAAAACUUGAAAGUGACAAGUUAAUUAUAGCAUCUCUGUGUUAAAAUUUGUUGUACCUACGGGUCUCUGUGUUUCGAUGAAAAUAACUAUAAUGACGGUGGGUUAUAUUUAACAAUUACGAUAUUUUUAUUAAAUUUUAGCUAAGGAUUUUUGCGACAUGAGGUCGAGAUGCUCCUGGAUUCCAAAAUGUUCAUUGUUUUACGUCACUGUCUGAAUUAUUUAAUUGUCCUUCUCGUUCUUUUGAUUAGAGCCAUUCUUCAGCCUGGCCUGCACCACAGAAACAGUACUACUAGUGGCAUGUCGAUAUCAUGCACUAAAUUUUGGACCUACAAGUAUCGAAGAUUCCGUAUCAUAUUUCCCUUUUUUCUUGAGAAUUAAUUUAAUAGCGGAUUUUAACAACCACUUCCCACUAAUAAAUGAUUGACCCCUACGUGCAUAAAAAUUUACAUCAAUCAAAACAUCCCAACUUGAUAAAAAGUGGUUGUUAGCCAGAAAGAUCCAUUUAAUAGUACCAAAUUAUUCUUUACCACAAAUAUAUGCAAAGAUAAAAGAUACUAAUUACGUUUUAGAUUAGAAAAGUCUGAUACACCUGUGUAAGCAAGUAGAUUAAAUCCUAAUGAAAGACAAAGACUUGUAUUAGUCAAUGUAAUUAAUACUAGUGUUUGUGGUUGUAAAUCAUACUCUACUCCAUCUUGAUUGCUGAAAGUCAAUAGAAAUACGAUCUGUCCAGCCCUCACAGAUCCAAAGAUGCUUUCUGCAGUAAGCAGUGACAUAAAAACACCUCAUACAAACUUUUAUGGUUAACUCGCUACAACAAAAGUUCUUUUUUUUUUUUUUGAAACACGCUAGAACAAAAGCUGCUUCAGCCUCUUAUAAAUUUCUUUUUCGUGUAUUUAUUUACGUAAAUAUUUUAUAAGUGUUUUAACAUUUUCUAUUUAUAAUAUGUCUAUAUAAUGUUUAAAUAAAUAACUUAUUUCUGAAAAAUAUUAAUAUAAGUUUAACGGAGUCAUCCCGAGGCUUGAUGUGAUUGUUUGUGGCCUAGCAUAAAGAAGACGGACAACUAAUAAUUAAUUUUAAUAUAAUUAAAUAACAAAAUAUUGAUAUAUUUAUUAACAUUAUUGACGGAGAAAGUUAAGACACAUAACGCGUUUUUCUUAGAAUAAAUUUGCGCCCUCUGCUAAGAGCAUCUCCAACGGCGUUGGGUAUAAUCGUUGGCUAAAUUGGACCUGUAAGACAUUAUGUAAAAUUUGUUGAACCUGUAAGACAUUUUGUUUCAAUGGUAUUGGCUAUAUUGGUUGGCUAUAAUUUAAAAAUAGUAUGUUAUUAAUAUUUUAAAUUGUUAAAAUAGAAUAUAUCAUUUCAAUAUGGUAAUAAAUGAUGUACAAUCUUCCUACAGAUUUUCUUACAGACCUGUAGAGGUUCGACAAAUUUAGCCAUCCAUAGGAGGUUGGCUAAAUUUAUAGACAACAGCUGAACAUGGUUGGAGUUGUGUUUUUGGAGCUGUUGGCUAAAUUUUUUUAUUUUAAGUAUGCCAACUCACUUUUUAGUCAAAGGGUUUUAGAUGGUUGGAGAUGCUCUAACGGAGAAAAUAUUGAGCAAUCUCAAACCUAAGAAAAAAGAAUGCAAGGGAUAUUUCUCAACCUCAUUUUCGGUGUUAUUAUCUUAACGUUAUAGAGUAUUCACACACUUAACUAUUCAUUAUUUUCUAACAAGAUCUCGUUUAUGACUUAUUCUUGUAACAGACUUCUUAUGUUUAACUUUUAUUUCUAAGUCUGUUAAACAAAUUCAAAUAAUACUCCCUCCGUCCCAUUUUAUGUGACCCUUAUUCCUUUUUGGGACGUCCCAGAAAGAAUGAACUUACAAUACUUACUAUUUUUGAACACUACUUUUCACUAUUACACCCACUACUUUCUUCCACUAUCUCCAUUCUAUAAUAAUAUAAACACUAUUACACCCACUAUCUUCCUCCACUAUCCCAAAUCUAUUAUUAAAUAUUGGUAGGUCCCACCACUUUACCCACUUUUCAACUAAACUUACUACAUUUUUCUUAAUCUCCGUGAAAGUCAAACCAACUCACUCUUUUUGGGACGGAGGGAGUAGUAGUUUUAUUCUAACCAUUGUGUUUAAAUCUGCAACAACUAUAUUUUACAGGUCGUAUAUAAUCUGAUUCAGUAUUUCAAACAACUUGGCAAUCACACACAAGUACAUCUUCUUCAGACAGCUUUACAAAGAUCAUAUAUGUUCAAGUAUAGAAGAUGCACUCUUCAAGUUUUAAGUCAUAUUUUAUAAUUGCUUAUGUCGGAUUGUGGCGAUAGUUAGGAUUACAAAAGUAUAAGUCAAGGUAGUCAAUGGGCUAGGUAGUGAGUUGCUAGGUGACAUUUGUGUCGAGGAAAGCAAACUUUCAGAGGUUUACACCUGUGAUCGGUGAAAUUGUAAAUCUAUUACAUUGAUAAUAAUAUAAUCUCUGUUCUAGUUGGCAUAGGGACUUGAAUGUAGGUCAUAGAUUAGGAAUAGAGGCCGAACCAAGUGAAAAAUUCCCCGUGUUCUUGCAUUUACAUUAUGUCUUUACUUUUAUGUUAUUUCUACAAUGCAAGUUAAUUGAGACAGCACGGUAUACAAAAAAGACAGACUCAUUAGUAAUUGAGACAGACUCAUUUAUUAAACAGUUAAGUUUAUUGUGCUUAUCGAAUUUCAGAUCCUUGUAAAGAACAGUUGCAAGUAAUGUAACUUUUUUUUUUGAUUCUCUCUCCCUUUGAUACAUUUUUACAUACAUGUAUAAAUAAAAAAUGAGAAUACAGAUCUCCUUACAUAUGGAAAAAUGGUUAGAUGUCUGCCCUGGUACCACCAGCUUCUUGGAGAACUAAUACUUUUAAAUGCUGCAGCAAUUGAUCAAAAUCAUCUUGUGAUUUGAUGAGACUAAGGCGAACAUAUCGACUGCUGGCACCAAAUCUAGUACCAACACGACCAAGUAUGCCACCAUCUUCGAGGACUUUGUAACAUAGUUCAUCUUCUUCCCUCUCACAUUUCAGCCAUCCGUAAGCUGUUGUAGCAAGUUUAUUAAUUAACAAUUAAUUUGAUCAUGUAAAGCUUUUUUAUUGCAACAAAUGUGAAAUAAAUGUAUAAAAGACGAAGAUAGCAUAGCAUGCUUAUGAAGUAUUAACAUGAGGAUAAUGUAAAUAUUAAGCCCUUUAGCAGAACAAUUGAGGAUUCCAGAAGAUUUGCUAACUUAAGAUGAUGUUAUAAAAGUUCGUUUGACAACUCUAGUUCAAAUCCUCGGAAUCCCAGUAUUUUAACUUAAGCAAAAUAUAAAGGAGUACAUAUUAAGCACUCCUCGAACACUGUGUUUGUUUGCAAUGACUACAACCUCUUUGCUAUUCAUGAUUUAUGCCAAAAAAAAUAUUAUAUUUAACCCCAUGAACGAGCUAGUUUAUAGCAGCUUUCUAGUUCGUUUUGGGUGCAUAAGGUUUAAGAAGAAUUAAUAAAUUAACAUGGAGGAAUGCAAGGACAUAUCAUUUUGUUUCAAGAACUGAACAUAUAAUUACAUAAGCAUAGUGAUGGAUCACCUGGAGAAGGUCCUCUGACAUUCUUAAAGAAAGUACAGAAGCGGGGUGGAAUUUCUUGGAGAGUGAAGCGUUUGGACAACGAUACAGUUUGGCUCAAGCUUUCCCAUCGGGUUCUCAUCUUUUCAUAGGCAUAAUUAAAUAUAGAUCUCCCAUCUCCCUCAAGAACUACAUUUAAUAGCUUUAAGGCUCUCAGCUGAGUGUCCUUGGAGACUCCAAAAGUAUUUUCGCCUGUAUAGAUUAGCAUUUUCUCAUACACAGUCUUAUCUUUAACCAAAGCCCACCUGAAAAUAUUCAAUCACUAGCAAUGUUACAAACUGUUCAUUCCAAAUUCACAAUUAGUAUUCAUUAAUAGUGACAAUUAGCUGCAUCAAAAUUUACGGAAGACUCCUAAAAUCAUAUACAUGGAAAAAAAAUGUCAAUUAUUUCCACAAUAGAGUGAUCAUUUCUUACCCAAAUCGAACACCCGCAUGACCAGUAAGCUUGGAAAGUGUAAAGAUCAUAAGAUCUUCGUCUGAGGGAGAUGUUAUCGCAGUAUAAUGUGGCCAGUUGUAGGCAUGAUCAUGAAUUGCCUUGGCAGAUGGACCAUUAAGAACAGCUCGUUUUAACUUUCCAUCAGGAUUGUUAGGUGAAGUUACAAACUCAAUCAUAUCCAUAGUGUCAUCAGAAUUGUUUCUGUACAGUGAUGUAUCUCCAUAAAAUUCAUAAUCCUCAGUGGCAAAGAAUUCAGUCUGCUCUUCAU